RNAcentral lists this long non-coding RNA (699 nucleotides) under Pongo abelii (Sumatran orangutan). Its description in RNAcentral is "lincRNA". The record is from RNAcentral. Lineage: Eukaryota; Metazoa; Chordata; Mammalia; Primates; Hominidae.
UUUGGAGUCAGACUACUUGAACUUGAAUCCUGGCCCUCUCAUCAGAGACUUGACUUAUUUUAGGCUGUGGCUUGCCUUUUCACUUCUUGUGUCCUGUUUAAGAAAUAUCUGCUAUCCCAAGCAUCUGGCAUCUUUCUUGACAUACGUAGCAGUUGCUUUUUGACAGCUUGCUUCUGGAGUGAAUGAAUAAAUUAAUAAAUUUAUUCAUUUGAUAUUCAGUGACAUGUGAUAUUCAGUGAUCCAUUUUGCAGAUUGCAAACUCCUAGAGAAGGGCUCAACAGUGAGUGUUGAGGCUGCACAGAGGAGGAAGGUAGCACAAUGAUGGAAGGCUUCCUAAAGAGGUCAGCUCCUGAAUCAAUUAAAAAAAAAAAACAACAGUGACAACGAAACUAAAAAAUAUGAAGAGGCUGAAACAUGAAAGCUCUGCCAACUGCAAUAUGUAGCUGCUAAGGUUGCUGUGUUUACUGGCAUCAAGCAAGUGUUCCAGGAAAGAGCACAGAAGAUGUGUCUGGGAGCCUUUAUGUGUAGAUAACACUAACAAAGUUGACCUUAGAAUUGGAGUGCCCGGGUUAGAACCUUGCUGGUACCACCUGCUUACUGCAUGCUUCUGAUGUGAGUUCAGGAGAAGCCACUGGCAAGGACAGCAAAGAACAGGAGAACACUCUAGCUUCCCUGAUAGCAUUCAAGGUGCUGUCCAAA